RNAcentral lists this ribosomal RNA (324 nucleotides) under uncultured bacterium. RNAcentral describes it as "bacterial SSU rRNA". It matches the Rfam family "Bacterial small subunit ribosomal RNA", at positions 28 to 334 of the family's 1533-position model. The record is from RNAcentral.
GACGAACGCUGGCGGCAUGCCUAAUACAUGCAAGUCGAGCGGAAUGACGAGAGCUUGCUCUCUGAUUUUAGCGGCGGACGGGUGAGUAACGCGUGGAUAACCUGCCCAUAGGUUGGGGACAACUCCGGGAAACCGGAGCUAAUACCGAAUAAAAUUUAUUGAACACAUGUUUAGUAAAUCAAAGGAGGCCUCUCGAAGAAGCUUCUGCCAAUGGAUGGAUCCGCGUCUGAUUAGCUAGUUGGUAAGGUAACGGCUUACCAAGGCGACGAUCAGUAGCCGGCCUGAGAGGGUGAACGGCCACACUGGGACUGAGACACGGCCCAG